This 1407-nucleotide long non-coding RNA is filed under the name Nothobranchius furzeri (turquoise killifish). RNAcentral's name for it is "lncRNA (ENSNFUG00015025013.1)". The record is from RNAcentral. Lineage: Eukaryota; Metazoa; Chordata; Actinopteri; Cyprinodontiformes; Nothobranchiidae.
AUGAGUGACGAAGUUUUCUUAACUGAACUCAACGGCCUUCUAUUUCAAUUAGGUCUUAAUAACCGGGAGCUUUCUCAAAAGAAGAAUGAAAUUACGCAACAAAUUGGAGAGCACAGCCUUGAAAUUGAUGAGACAAAGUCUCACAUUGAAACCCUCCAAGGACAUGUCAAGAAACUUGAAGAGGAAAUAAACGUGAAGCACAGCAGAAUCUUGAAGAACAAAGAAAAUGCAAAUGGCAUGAAGGCAACCAGCAGCCUUCUUUUUCAGUAUGAACAGAUGACGAAAGCAGACCUGGAAAGCAGAAAAGCCAGCUACAACAGCGACUUGGAAGUCUAUGAAGAGAAGAUUUCAAGCAGCAGAAAGACACUUGAGUCAUACAAAGAAAGAUAUUUUAAAAAUCCUCUUGCUCAAAAGCUGCUCAAGCUGCAGGGUGAAAGUGAUGAAAUUAGGAGUCGAAUCAAGGCCUGCAAUGAUCAAAUAAUGGCCAAACAAAAGGAGAUGGAGCAUCUCCGUGAUCCAGCAGCCAAAUUAUCUUCCUCUGAGAAGCUGUCAGACAGUGGUUUGGGCCAGCAGCCCACGGCAUAUGAAGAGCAAUCAGAGCAUCAGACUGAGGAGAACGAGACUUCUGCCAUUAAUGACAUCUCAUCCCAGCAUCUCGAUCAAACAGCUGAGCGAGAAACCUAUGCAGUAGCCAAUUUUGAGGAGGAUCGUGAACAAAACAAGGUGCAGGAUUUCCCCACCUGUCUUAACUCCCCUGAGGAUCCAAACAAAGAGCUGUGGUCCUAUCAGCAGAUGGAGGAGAAAAGUCAAGCAGAUGAAAUUGACUCUGAAGCACAGAAUCGGGAAACUUCCAAAGAAAACCAGGUUUUGGAAAAUAAGAUGGCUGUGUUGGAUGUAGAGGAUGUUCUAGAGGAAGAGAUGGAGACUAGAGCUCCUUCGGAAGAAGAGCAAGCACCAACUGAAGAGGACCACCAGGAGGUUUUCGUUUUCCCCCAGUCAUCACAUCAACAAGAUAACCCUGAGCCUCUCACAGGAAGAACAGCAUCAUUGGCUUCAACCCCAACAUUUACAUUCAACCCCAGCCCCACCGGCUCCCCACAUCGAGACACCUCCGAAGCAAAAUCUCCACAUUUCCUGUUCGCCUCCACUUCCAACGCAAGCACCCCGGGCUUUCCUGGAUUUGGAUUUGAUGUGGGCUCGUCCCAGGAAGAGGACUCAUCUUUUGCUUUCACUGGCUCCCUUUUCAGUGAGAAGAAAGCUUCAGAAGCAAAACCUUCAAGCUACCCUGAAUUCCUGUUCGACCAACCAGACAAAAGCGAGGAUUUCCAGUUUGCGUUUGCUGCCAAGAGUCCUCAGCCAGCCGGCAAAGAAAACAAGGAUGAGUUUCCAUUUUCAUUCAACUUUUAA